GAGUUUGAUCCUGGCUCAGAUUAAACGCUGGCGGCAUGCCUUACACAUGCAAGUCGAACGGCAGCACGGGGGCAACCCUGGUGGCGAGUGGCGGACGGGUGAGUAAAGCAUCGGAACGUAUCCUGGAGUGGGGGAUAACGUAGCGAAAGUUACGCUAAUACCGCAUAUUCUGUGAGCAGGAAAGCAGGGGAUCGCAAGACCUUGCGCUCUGGGAGCGGCCGAUGUCGGAUUAGCUAGUUGGUGGGGUAAAGGCCUACCAAGGCGACGAUCCGUAGCGGGUCUGAGAGGAUGAUCCGCCACACUGGGACUGAGACACGGCCCAGACUCCUACGGGAGGCAGCAGUGGGGAAUUUUGGACAAUGGGCGGAAGCCUGAUCCAGCCAUGCCGCGUGAGUGAAGAAGGCCUUCGGGUUGUAAAGCUCUUUCGGCGGGGAAGAAAUUGCACGGGUUAAUACCCUGUGUAGAUGACGGUACCCGAAUAAGAAGCACCGGCUAACUACGUG
This 503-nucleotide ribosomal RNA is filed under the name uncultured bacterium. RNAcentral's name for it is "bacterial SSU rRNA". It matches the Rfam family "Bacterial small subunit ribosomal RNA", at positions 9 to 507 of the family's 1533-position model. The record is from RNAcentral.